GCUAAUUUUUUUUCUUAAUUCCUCAUCUCCUUUGAUUCCAAUUCAAGUGUGGUGCAAUUGGAUUUUAUAUUCUGAUUUUAGAAAUAAACUUUGUUCUCAAUUUUGUUAUUGAUUUGCAAAUAUAGUUAUGAUAAGAGUUGUUAAACUUAAAGAUUGAAUAUUUUAUCUUUCUUAUUGGAUUGAAGCUUCUAAUAUGAAGUAAGCCUCUUAAGUAAGUUUAUAAAAACUGAUUUUUAUAAAUUAUGUUGUUUGAUAAUACUCUCUGAAAUCAGAAUGAUGUUAAUUAGAGAUAGAAUUGAUGUUGUGAGUUGGAUUAGUAGAAUGGGUCGUAUAUAAGGUUGUAGUGGUUAGUUCAUGGAAGAGCUUAGAAAGUAUGAGUAAUUCAAUUUGUUUAUCUAAAUUGUUGUGAGGAUGGUUAAUGAUUGUUGUUAUUGUUUUGAGGUCGUUGUUGGAGUAUGUAUAUGGAGAUAAAUUAUGAAGUUCGAGCUAUAGUGGUUAUCCAGAAUGUCGAGUUAUUGGGAAUUGUUUCAAGGGUUCAUUAUUAGUGAUUUUGCAGGGUUGAUGUCGAGGUCGUGGAAUAUGAUUAUUGAUCAAGAAGAAGAGUUUUAUGUUAUGAAAUGGUGGGCUGAGGUUAAAGUUAGAUGUUUUGUUUCAAAGUAUUCGUAAUCUGUUAUUUGAUUUUCAAGUUGUUAUAUUGUGGGCCCCUGACCCACAGAUCCAGGAUCGUUUUUAUAGGUUUAGUUUCCGCUGUAAAUAAAUGCAAAUUCGAGGUUUGUUAAGUGUUGAUUUUGUUUUGUGUA
Beta vulgaris subsp. vulgaris (sugar beet) is the source of this 800-nucleotide long non-coding RNA. RefSeq lists it as uncharacterized. The transcript is spliced from 2 exons. NCBI's taxonomy places the organism in Eukaryota, Viridiplantae, Streptophyta, Magnoliopsida, Caryophyllales, Amaranthaceae. The record is from RefSeq and is a predicted model, not a curated record.